UACGGAGGGUGCAAACGUUGCUCGGAAUCAUUGGGCGUAAAGCGCACGUAGGCGGUCUCGUAAGUUGGAUGUGAAAGCCCUUGGCUUAACCAAGGAAGUGCAUUCAAAACUGCUUGACUUAAGUACCGGAGAGGGUCGCGGAAUUCUCGGUGUAGAGGUGAAAUUCGUAGAUAUCGGGAGGAACACCAGUGGCGAAGGCGGCGACCUGGACGGAUACUGACGCUGAGGUGCGAAAGCGUGGGGAGCAAACAGG
RNAcentral lists this ribosomal RNA (253 nucleotides) under uncultured bacterium. RNAcentral describes it as "partial 16S ribosomal RNA". It matches the Rfam family "Bacterial small subunit ribosomal RNA", at positions 524 to 776 of the family's 1533-position model. The record is from RNAcentral.